RNAcentral lists this non-coding RNA (162 nucleotides) under Pseudomonas marginalis. Lineage: Bacteria; Pseudomonadati; Pseudomonadota; Gammaproteobacteria; Pseudomonadales; Pseudomonadaceae. The record is from RNAcentral.
UCGCGAGUGACUGCGAAUCUGAAGGAAGCCCGACGCAAAAUAUAGGCCUGAAGAACAGGAUCGGAUAGAAGCGGCGUGACGGGAUAAAGUGGCCAUGACGACCGAAGUUCGAUUCUUGCACGGACCGCUACGACGUAGUUCUGACAGGCCGAAGCAGGAGGU